Phyllostomus discolor (pale spear-nosed bat) is the source of this 1417-nucleotide long non-coding RNA. RefSeq lists it as uncharacterized. The transcript is spliced from 2 exons. NCBI's taxonomy places the organism in Eukaryota, Metazoa, Chordata, Mammalia, Chiroptera, Phyllostomidae. The record is from RefSeq and is a predicted model, not a curated record.
UUAGUGACCAGUCUUAUCUUUGGCCAAUAUAACGAAAUGGAAAUAACAGUAAGGCUAGGCCUUAAGAAGCAUUGCCAUUUUCACCUAGGUCUUCUGGAAACUCUCUGGGAGCUCUGAAGCACCCUGUAAGACACCCAACUACCUUGACACUGCCAUGUUGGAGGAGCCACAUGCAGUCAUGCCUGCCAACAGGUUCAAUAGAGCCCAGGCUUUGGGGAUCACUGCUGAAGCUAGACACUUGUUAGGGUGUGGUUUCUGGACCCUGUAGACCAGUCCAUCUGCCAGAUGAGGAUCACUGAGUGACCUCCCUCAAAAUCACAGGGAGCAAAGAGUCCCUACCUGAAUUCCUGACCCACAAAGUCAUGAGAUAUAAAGAAAUAGUUGUUGUUUUAAGCCCCUAAUUUUGGGGGUAAUUUAUUAGGCAAUAAUAGAUAAUCAAACAUUAUCAAUCACUAAAGAGCCCCCCUGUUGACCAUUUCCUAUUGUAAUGUUCCCUUCAAUGGUAACCAUUCUCCUGACUUCCUAUACUAUAGAUUAGUUCUGUUUUUAUACUUCCUAUAAAUAGAAUUAUACAACAUGUCCUUUUCUGAUGUCUUGUCUCUUUGGCUCUAUAUUAAGUUUAUGAUAUUCUUCUGUAGCCACAGAUUAUCAUUCUCAUUGCUGUAUCCCAUUGUGUGAAUAUACCUAUGUGUCCAUUCUACUGCUUGUAGACAUUUGUGUUGUUUCCAGCUUUGGGCUAUAAUAAAUAGCAUUGCUGUGGACAUUCCACUGUGUGCAUGUGUGUUGGGCAUAUGCCCAGGAGAGGGACUGCAGGGAACUAAGGUGUUUUCAGCUUUUGGAGCUAUUGCCACAUAGGUUUUCAAAGUGGUUUUACCAACUUGUACUCAUCCACAGUGUUUGAUGGUUACUCCACCUUUUCCUCAGAACUUGCUGUUUACUGUCUUUUGCAUUUUUUUUUUGCUUGAGAAUUGUAUACAUUUACUAGCCUACAAGAAAGAGCAAAGCUGUCCACCCACCAAGGUGACAUGUGAGACACUCAGGCUAAAGGCAGAAAAACUGAACUCCUUUGACCCGGAUUGGAAAGAAUGUUGCAACCGUUCAUUCACAUUUGAAGGGAAGAUUGCUGGGCUCAGCUUCCACUUUCCUCAUUCAUCUGGAGACUUUCUGCUUUGAUUACAUAAGAUAACAAAUAGAGCCGACUGUUGCUUUUUGCAAUAGUUGUCUUCUAUAAAGUCACCAAAAACAGUGAGCGAAUAUGAGCCAUUGCUCCCAGGGGAAAUACAGGGUCGGAUUACUGUGAGCCUCUCAUCACAAUGUUUCCGUAGACUGACCAAUGCAUAACUUCAUUGUGUGUGUGUGUUUCUGUUUAGAGACUCCUUAUUUAAUAUGUGUUGCUCAUUCAUUAAUAUUCAUGAAC